Molecule: transfer RNA, 83 nt
Filed under: Curtobacterium sp. MCBD17_030
Lineage: Bacteria; Bacillati; Actinomycetota; Actinomycetes; Micrococcales; Microbacteriaceae
Description: tRNA-Leu
Rfam family: tRNA
About the family: Transfer RNA (tRNA) molecules are approximately 80 nucleotides in length. Their secondary structure includes four short double-helical elements and three loops (D, anti-codon, and T loops).
Source: RNAcentral
GCGGGAGUGGUGGAAUUGGUAGACACGCAGGAUUUAGGUUCCUGUGCUCCGGCAUGAGGGUUCGAGUCCCUCCUUCCGCACCG